RNAcentral lists this small RNA (409 nucleotides) under uncultured bacterium. Its description in RNAcentral is "bacterial SSU rRNA". It matches the Rfam family "Bacterial small subunit ribosomal RNA", at positions 1129 to 1533 of the family's 1533-position model. The record is from RNAcentral.
UGGUGGGAACUCUAGGGAGACUGCCGGUGACAAACCGGAGGAAGGUGGGGAUGACGUCAGGUCAUCAUGGCCCUUACGGCCAGGGCUACACACGUGCUACAAUGGCGCGCACAGAGGGCUGCAAACCCGCGAGGGGGAGCCAAUCUCACAAAACGCGUCGUAGUCCGGAUCGCAGUCUGCAACUCGACUGCGUGAAGUCGGAAUCGCUAGUAAUCGUGAAUCAGAAUGUCACGGUGAAUACGUUCCCGGGCCUUGUACACACCGCCCGUCACACCAUGGGAGUGGAUUGCACCAGAAGUGGUUAGUCUAACCUUCGGGAGGACGAUCACCACGGUGUGGUUCAUGACUGGGGUGAAGUCGUAACAAGGUAGCCGUAGGGGAACCUGCGGCUGGAUCACCUCCUUAACGA